Molecule: ribosomal RNA, 407 nt
Filed under: uncultured bacterium
Lineage: Bacteria
Description: partial 16S ribosomal RNA
Rfam family: Bacterial small subunit ribosomal RNA
Source: RNAcentral
AUUGAACGCUGGCGGCAGGCCUAACACAUGCAAGUCGAGCGGAGCGGCGGACGGGUGAGUAAUGCCUGGGCAUCUGCCUGGUCGUGGGGGAUAACGUCCGGAAACGGGCGCUAAUACCGCAUACUAUCAGAAGAGCCUAGGUCGGAUUAGCUAGUUGGUGGGGUAAAGGCCUACCAAGGCGACGAUCCGUAACUGGUCUGAGAGGAUGAUCAGUCAAACUGGAACGGAGACACGGUCCAGACGCCUACGGAAGGCAGCAGUGGGGAAUAUUGGCCAAUGGGCGAAAGCCUGAUCCAGCCAUGCCGCGUUUGUGAAGAAGGUCUUCGGAUUGUAAAGCACUUUAAGUUGGGAGGCGUUACCAACAGAAGAAGCACCGGCUAACUUCGUGCCAGCAGCCGCGGUAAUAC